RNAcentral lists this ribosomal RNA (428 nucleotides) under Semiclaviger sikorae. RNAcentral describes it as "partial 16S ribosomal RNA". The record is from RNAcentral. Lineage: Eukaryota; Metazoa; Arthropoda; Insecta; Coleoptera; Staphylinidae.
GUCUUUUUGAUUAUAAUAUAAGGUUUGAUCUGCCCAUUGAUUAUUUUAAAGGCCGCAGUAUUUUGACUGUGCGAAGGUAGCAUAAUAAUUAGUUUUUUAAUUGGAAGCUAGAAUGAAUGAUUUGAUGAAAAAAAUACUGUCUCUAUAUUAUAAAAUAAAAAUUUAUUUUUAAGUUAAAAAGCUUAAAUUUUAUUAAAAGACGAGAAGACCCUAUAGAGUUUUAUAUAAUUAGAUUAAAUUUAUUUAUUUUUAUUUAUUUAUUUUAUUAAAUUAUAUUUUAUUGGGGUGAUAUAAAAGUUUAUUAAACCUUUUUUUUUAAUUUAACAAUAAUAAUUGAAUUAUUGAUCCUUUAAUAGAUUAAUAGAUUAAAUUACCUUAGGGAUAACAGCGUAAUUUUUUUGGGGAGUUCAUAUCUAUAAAAAAGUUUG